Molecule: ribosomal RNA, 42 nt
Filed under: Pimpinella anisum
Lineage: Eukaryota; Viridiplantae; Streptophyta; Magnoliopsida; Apiales; Apiaceae
Also listed under: 2 other names
Description: partial 26S ribosomal RNA
Source: RNAcentral
CUGUGACCCCAGGUCAGGCGGGACUACCCGCUGAGUUUAAGC